GAAAUGCGAUAAGUAAUGUGAAUUGCAGAAUUCAGUGAAUCAUCAAAUCUUUGAACGCACAUUGCGCCCGCCAGCACUCUGGCGGGCAUGCCUGUUCGAGCGUCAUUUCAACCCUCAGAACCCCUUGCGGGAUCUGGCGUUGGGGAUUGGCAUCCAGCCAGCCCCGAAAUCUAGCGGCGGUCCCUCCGCGACCUCCCCUGUGCAGUAGCGAUACCUCGCAGCGGGACAGCGGUCUGACCACGCCGUAAAACCCCCAACUUCUCAAGGUUGACCUCGAAUCAGGUAGGAAUACCCGCUGAACUUAAGC
This 307-nucleotide unclassified non-coding RNA is filed under the name plant metagenome. RNAcentral describes it as "partial contains 5.8S ribosomal RNA, internal transcribed spacer 2, and large subunit ribosomal RNA". The stretch from base 1 to 105 matches the Rfam family "5.8S ribosomal RNA", at positions 50 to 154 of the family's 154-position model. The record is from RNAcentral.